This 253-nucleotide ribosomal RNA is filed under the name uncultured bacterium. RNAcentral describes it as "partial 16S ribosomal RNA". It matches the Rfam family "Bacterial small subunit ribosomal RNA", at positions 524 to 776 of the family's 1533-position model. The record is from RNAcentral.
UACGUAGGGGGCUAGCGUUGUCCGGAAUCAUUGGGCGUAAAGCGCGUGUAGGCGGCCCGGUAAGUCCGCUGUGAAAGUCGGGGGCUCAACCCUCGAAGGCCGGUGGAUACUGUCGGGCUAGAGUACGGAAGAGGCGAGUGGAAUUCCUGGUGUAGCGGUGAAAUGCGCAGAUAUCAGGAGGAACACCCAUUGCGAAGGCAGCUCGCUGGGACGUUACUGACGCUGAGGCGCGAAAGCGUGGGGAGCAAACAGG